RNAcentral lists this ribosomal RNA (460 nucleotides) under uncultured bacterium. RNAcentral describes it as "partial 16S ribosomal RNA". It matches the Rfam family "Bacterial small subunit ribosomal RNA", at positions 338 to 795 of the family's 1533-position model. The record is from RNAcentral.
CCUACGGGAGGCAGCAGUGAGGAAUAUUGGUCAAUGGGCGAGAGCCUGAACCAGCCAAGUCGCGUGAAGGAUGACGGCCCUACGGGUUGUAAACUUCUUUUGUCAGGGAGCAAUUUGGUCCACGCGUGCCCCUAGCGAGAGUACCUGAAAAAAAAGCUCCGGCUAACUCCGUACCACCAGCCUCGGUAAUACGGAGGUUGCGAGCGUGAUCCGGAUUUAUUGGGGUAAAUGGGUGCGUAGGCGGAAUAUCAAGUCAGCGGUAAAAAUGCGGGGCCCAACCCCGGCGGGCCGUUGAAACUGAGGGUCUUGAGUGGGAGAGAAGUAUGCGGAAUGCGCGGUGUAGCGGUGAAAUGCAUAGAUAUCGCGCAGAACUCCGAUUGCGAAGGCAGCAUACCGGCGCCCAACUGACGCUGAGGCACGAAAGCGUGGGUAUCGAACAGGAUUAGAUACCCGAGUAGUC